AUUGAACGCUGGCGGCAUGCUUUACACAUGCAAGUCGAACGGCAGCGCGGGCUUCGGCCUGGCGGCGAGUGGCGAACGGGUGAGUAAUGCAUCGGAACGUGCCCAGUAGUGGGGGAUGGCCCGGCGAAAGCCGGAUUAAUACCGCAUACGACCUGCGGGUGAAACCGGGGGGCCGAAAGGCCUCGCGCUAUUGGAGCGGCCGAUGUCGGAUUAGCUAGUUGGUGGGGUAAAGGCUUACCAAGGCGACGAUCCGUAGCUGGUCUGAGAGGACGACCAGCCACACUGGGACUGAGACACGGCCCAGACUCCUACGGGAGGCAGCAGUGGGGAAUUUUGGACAAUGGGGGCAACCCUGAUCCAGCCAUGCCGCGUGCGGGAAGAAGGCCUUCGGGUUGUAAACCGCUUUUGUUCGGGAAGAAAUCCUCUGGGCUAAUACCCCGGGGGGAUGACGGUACCGGAAGAAUAAGCACCGGCUAACUACGUG
This 484-nucleotide ribosomal RNA is filed under the name uncultured bacterium. RNAcentral's name for it is "partial 16S ribosomal RNA". It matches the Rfam family "Bacterial small subunit ribosomal RNA", at positions 28 to 507 of the family's 1533-position model. The record is from RNAcentral.